AAUGUUUGCUUUCUUUUUCUUUUAAUCAGUUUUAAAUGCUGUCUGAUAUAAUGCAGUUGUUUUGUUUGUAGUCCCAGGAGGCCACGAACAUCAAUUUUGUUCUGAGGGCAAAAGCCAAGGGGUUCCUCAAAAUAGGCAAGGAUGGUGGAGUGCUCAGGUUUUGCUGCCUUCUCCAUGACACCAUCUUCCAACUGAGCAACCUCUCCAAGUCACUGCAGAGGUCAGUGUCAACCCUGGCUGAAGCUCAGAGCUGCCUUUCCUCUACUCAGGCUGUCAUAGAAAAGUACAAGUCAAGACCUGGGCCUAAGCUGAGAGCAGUGCUGUACACAGACUCCUAUGAGGGAGUCCUCCUGAAGCCUACUGAUGCCGACCAGCAUGACAAGGCAAAGAAUGAGCUGAUCGAUUCUCUUUGCCGGUGCAUCACUGUUAGAUUUAGUGAUGUGAACAGUGGUGUCCUGCAGGCUAUGCGGCUGACCAGCUUCCAGUGCUGGCCAGAGGCAGACACGAGUUCAGAUUUUGGUGAUGAAGAGGUUAACAAACUCAUCAGUCACUUCCGACCUCUUUUACUGUCUGCUGGAGUGGAUGUGGAGUUGAUCCCUGAUCAAUGGACAAUUCUCAAGACUGAA
Long non-coding RNA from Perca fluviatilis (European perch), 626 nucleotides. RefSeq lists it as uncharacterized. The transcript is spliced from 3 exons. The record is from RefSeq and is a predicted model, not a curated record. NCBI's taxonomy places the organism in Eukaryota, Metazoa, Chordata, Actinopteri, Perciformes, Percidae.